GACGAACCGUGCGAACGUUGUUCGGAUUCACUGGGCUUAAAGGGCGCGUAGGCGGCUCUGCACGUUCGUUGUGAAAUCGCCCGGCUCAACUGGGCGGGGUCAGCGGAUACGGCAGAGCUUGAGCAAGCUAGGGGGCAAUGGAAUUCCCGGUGUAGUGGUGGAAUGCGUAGAUAUCGGGAGGAACACCAGUGGCGAAGGCGGUUGCCUGGGGCUUUGCUGACGCUGAUGCGCGAAAGCGUGGGGAGCGAUCCGG
Molecule: ribosomal RNA, 253 nt
Filed under: uncultured bacterium
Lineage: Bacteria
Description: partial 16S ribosomal RNA
Rfam family: Bacterial small subunit ribosomal RNA
Source: RNAcentral